Alosa sapidissima (American shad) is the source of this 149-nucleotide long non-coding RNA. RefSeq lists it as uncharacterized. The transcript is spliced from 3 exons. NCBI's taxonomy places the organism in Eukaryota, Metazoa, Chordata, Actinopteri, Clupeiformes, Clupeidae. The record is from RefSeq and is a predicted model, not a curated record.
CAUGUAGCCUAUUCUAUUUACCAAUACCCAAUGUAUUAUGCAUGGGCAGCAUACUAGUGAGGAGGUUGGGACAUGUCUCAUGUCAUGUUAGAUCACAUCCUGAGGGUCUAAGCUUUCAGAAAAUAUAUGGUUUAUAUAGUUGAAUCAGU